RNAcentral lists this ribosomal RNA (468 nucleotides) under uncultured bacterium. Its description in RNAcentral is "partial 16S ribosomal RNA". It matches the Rfam family "Bacterial small subunit ribosomal RNA", at positions 28 to 507 of the family's 1533-position model. The record is from RNAcentral.
GACGAACGCUGGCGGCGUGCUUAACACAUGCAAGUCGAACGGAAAGGCCCUGCUUUUGUGGGGUGCUCGAGUGGCGAACGGGUGAGUAACACGUGAGUAACCUGCCCUUGACUUUGGGAUAACUUCAGGAAACUGGGGCUAAUACCGGAUAGGAGCUCCUGCUGCAUGGUGGGGGUUGGAAAGUUUCGGCGGUUGGGGAUGGACUCGCGGCUUAUCAGCUUGUUGGUGGGGUAGUGGCUUACCAAGGCUUUGACGGGUAGCCGGCCUGAGAGGGUGACCGGCCACAUUGGGACUGAGAUACGGCCCAGACUCCUACGGGAGGCAGCAGUGGGGAAUACUGCACCAUGGGCGGAAGCCUGAUGCAGCAACGCCGCGUGCGGGAUGACGGCCUUCGGGUUGUAAACCGCUUUCGCCUGUGACGAAGCGUGAGUGACGGUAAUGGGUAAAGAAGCACCGGCUAACUACGUG